UCAUGACAGNAAGCAUGGAGUAAGCAAUUCGGAUAAUUCAUUCAGAGACAGGGCCCCCUGGGAUCGGGGGAAGCCGGUAGAGGUCAAUUUCAACCUUCAGCCCCGGCUUGUGUGAUGGACGACCGUCCCCCCCCAAUAACCACCCACCGCUUAGGGGGGUGGGAGGGAGGGGGACGCGCCCGAAAAGCAGUGGUCAGGCCGCGAUUCCGGCUCCUGGGCGAAUGGGACAUACCACCGCCUCUAGGACCGGCCGGUAGGCUGGCCUAACGCACCAUGUAUUAUUCAGGUUGACCUCGGAUCAGGUAG
RNAcentral lists this unclassified non-coding RNA (306 nucleotides) under Microsporum audouinii. Its description in RNAcentral is "sequence contains 18S rRNA gene, ITS1, 5.8S rRNA gene, ITS2, 28S rRNA gene". Lineage: Eukaryota; Fungi; Ascomycota; Eurotiomycetes; Onygenales; Arthrodermataceae. The record is from RNAcentral.